AGUGAACGCUGGCGGUAGGCCUAACACAUGCAAGUCGAACGGCAGCACAGUAAGAGCUUGCUCUUACGGGUGGCGAGUGGCGGACGGGUGAGGAAUACAUCGGAAUCUACUUUUUCGUGGGGGAUAACGUAGGGAAACUUACGCUAAUACCGCAUACGACCUACGGGUGAAAGCAGGGGAUCUUCGGACCUUGCGCGAUUGAAUGAGCCGAUGUCGGAUUAGCUAGUUGGCGGGGUAGAGGCCCACCAAGGCGACGAUCCGUAGCUGGUCUGAGAGGAUGAUCAGCCACACUGGAACUGAGACACGGUCCAGACUCCUACGGGAGGCAGCAGUGGGGAAUAUUGGACAAUGGGCGCAAGCCUGAUCCAGCCAUACCGCGUGGGUGAAGAAGGCCUUCGGGUUGUGAAGCCCUUUUGUUGGGAGAGAAAAGCAGCAGGUUAAUACCCCGCUGUUCUGACGGUACCCAAAGAAUAAGCACCGGCUAACUUCGUG
RNAcentral lists this ribosomal RNA (492 nucleotides) under uncultured bacterium. RNAcentral's name for it is "partial 16S ribosomal RNA". It matches the Rfam family "Bacterial small subunit ribosomal RNA", at positions 29 to 507 of the family's 1533-position model. The record is from RNAcentral.